GACCUCCUGUACCAGAUUGCAGACAUUCCUUUCUUGAGCCAGCACAAGGACAAAAUCAUUGUAAGACAUAUCAUUCCCUUUUUUGUUUUAAACCUUUUAGGUGUCAUGGUGGAUGUGGCCUGAAAAAUACCAACAUUUUUAUGUAGGAUAUAAUCGAAAGGGCAGAGAAACAACCCAACCUCACACUUGGUAUCCUCAUCUCCAUUGUAAUUGUGAUAUUCACUGUUAUCCUUAAGAUAAUUUUUGGUGGGAAGAAGCCAGCA
This 263-nucleotide unclassified non-coding RNA is filed under the name Hevea brasiliensis (rubber tree). The record is from RNAcentral. Lineage: Eukaryota; Viridiplantae; Streptophyta; Magnoliopsida; Malpighiales; Euphorbiaceae.